CGCGUAGACGGUUUUGUAAGUCAGAUGUGAAAUCCCCGGGCUCAACCUGGGAACUGCAUUUGAAACUGCAUGGCUAGAGUAUGGUAGAGGGAAGUGGAAUUUCCGGUGUAGCGGUGAAAUGCGUAGAUAUCGGAAGGAACACCAGUGGCGAAAGCGACUUCCUGGACCAAUACUGACGUUCAUGUGCGAAAGCGUGGGGAGCAAACAGGAUUAGAUACCCUGGUAGUCCACGCCAUAAACGAUGACAACUAGAUGUUGGGAGGGUCUGCCUCUCGGUGUCGCAGCUAACGCGUUAAGUUGUCCGCCUGGGGAGUACGGCCGCAAGGUUGAA
RNAcentral lists this ribosomal RNA (331 nucleotides) under uncultured bacterium. RNAcentral describes it as "bacterial SSU rRNA". It matches the Rfam family "Bacterial small subunit ribosomal RNA", at positions 568 to 898 of the family's 1533-position model. The record is from RNAcentral.